CCCCAUACACCCCUCCGUUGCAACUCAACGGGUCCAUAGCAUCAGACACAAACUACCGAAUCCCAAGCUUGCUGUUCUUGGCCACCUUCGUGAGUGACGGAAGCCUCGCGAGCUCCGGCUUCUCGCUGACUCUCCAACAAUUCACCAGCGGAUGCUACAAGAGUCUAACAGCUCUCGACUCUAGCAUAGUCCAAAAAAGUCGCAGAUAUCCUCGAGCAUAUGCGAAAGCGGGAACUUACUGUGAAUACAGAAUUGCUACUUCUGAUCCAUCGAAACGGGUGAAAGUCUAUUUCAAAGUCUUUCGAGUGUGGAACCCUAGUUACGUCGCCAUCAACCCCUCUGGCGACGCCUACUAUGACAGCAACGUAGUUGUCCUGCAAGGUUCAUCGAGCCAGAGGUAUCAUGAGUCCAUCGCAGAUGUCCUCAGAAUCUACUUCCACAAUGAAGUCGCAACAGUUGGCUUCAAGUUUAACUACAAACAAGUGGUAUAAAAAGAUGCAAAUGCCACUCUGAUACCUUAUUUUGAGUCUGCUUUCUUACUGAAGCUACAUACGAAUGAAUAUAACACAAUGUUGAAGGUACUGAAUGUAGCGUAAAAUAAGAAAGGUAUCAGAAUGCUUUUUACUUCUUCUUCAAACUUUAUUUGUGACUUUCUCCUAUAAUGAAAAUUAAAGAAAGACACCUACACAUUGCUAUGACAUAUUUUCUCAAUACACUUUAAAUAAAGAACGAUGUUUAAGUUUUUCAACAAACUUUCACCUCAUAAAAAAUCUUAUGUAUACUAAUAUUAUUUCUUGUUAAUAAAAACAAUGAAAAAUUCAGAGGAAACAUGUACGAUGACUCUCACAAGGCUGCCAUGACAGUUGAAAAUUAUUGCAAUGUUGGCAGCGACCUCAUCCGGGAACUCUAUGGCCAAGACAUCCUCCAUUAGCACGUUGCCUGCUUUACUCUAAGGGAAGAUUUAUGUAUUUAUCAGAAAUGUUAUUGCUAAGCGAAUAAAAAAUGCGCUCAAUUAUG
Molecule: long non-coding RNA, 1017 nt
Filed under: Penaeus japonicus
Lineage: Eukaryota; Metazoa; Arthropoda; Malacostraca; Decapoda; Penaeidae
Description: uncharacterized LOC122245493
Source: RNAcentral